This is a non-coding RNA of Cricetulus griseus (Chinese hamster), 2771 nucleotides long. Lineage: Eukaryota; Metazoa; Chordata; Mammalia; Rodentia; Cricetidae. The record is from RefSeq and is a predicted model, not a curated record.
CUAUGAGAGGAAACCUAUUCCUGACUGAUAUACACAGACUGAUAUGGUCCAUGGUCCCAGGGGAAAGCCCUUGGUUUUGUGGAGCCCUGGGACUGAACCUGGGAGGUCACUAUUGGAAAGUGAAUUGGCCACUGCAAGCCUCAGUUAACACAUGGGAGGAAACCGGGUGUGAAUCACAAACCAAUCAUAAACCAAAGAAAAGAAAGUUAUUGUUUAUCUCCCUUUCACUUCACUCUGUUAACAAAGAAUGCUCUUUCCAGCUGGUAGGUCAGAGGCAGAAUGGGAGAAGACAGUGGAAAUUCCCGUUCUGAGAGUCCAGCAUUGUUAGACACUGAGAGUUUGUGGACUUUCCAGCUUGGUUGGUCAUCUGACUUCAUCGCCAAGUCUGAGGAGCAAUGGGUGGAGUGUGUCUGGACUUGCCCUUCCAUGCUGAGAUAGUCAUCUGCUUCAAGGGCAGUGUCCAAACCUUUAAGUCCACAUAGAUGCUUCAGCUUUCCAGCUGCAAUGUCAGCCUUGGGUGAAGACUGCAGAAGGCAUCAUGGAGCAAGGACCAGGUAGGGUGCCCGGACUGAUGCAGCCACAACUGGAGGAAAUAGACACUGCAAGGAUUCAGUGUAGUGUCUGGAGCUGAGGGAUCUGGAUGUGGAUCAACUUGCAAAGGGAUCCUGUAGACAGGCAUGACAGAAAGUGGACAAGAGGACCACCCUGACCCCAGAGACAUGAGGGCCUGUGGUUCACCUUGGAGUAUCAGAAAAUAUGUGACCAUUGGCAGCUGGUUUGUGCAGAAUCCCUGGUUACGCUGAGCCUCGAGGACUGUGACUGUCUUAUGUACCUGUUGCCCGUGGGGCCUGGAAAAGGAAAAAAAUCAUGGGGGUGUUAGAAUAGAAGCAAGACAAUGCAUGCCACAUGCCACACGCUACAUGCCACAUGCCACACGCCACAUGUCACAGCUCCAUUGUUUUUGAAGCUAUUGUUUUCCUUUCUUAGCUUUGAGCCUGUCUAAUGUAUUAAACUUUUUUUUUUUCUCCCACAUGCAAGCCAUCAAGUUUCCUGUCCUCAGUGAGCUUGGAGUUAGUAAACCAAUUCUGAAGGAGAGGUGUUUCUGCUGGUGAGUCUUACUGUGAGCCAGUGUGGGACAGGAAAAGGACCUAGAGUUUUACUCUGAGAUGGGGAAAAUCACAACCUUGCCCGGCAUUCACCCGUUUCCUCUUCAGACAAGCAAGUCCCUUACAUCUUCUCCAUUUCCCUGGCCACCGUAUCACACUCAGUAGUGAUUCUCACAGGUGUGAAUUUCUGAGACUCAGGACAACCAUCCACUAUUUUCUAACUCUGGGAAUUCUGUGAAAACCACAAGCUAGAGACUUCCCUCCCAUGAUCCUCAGGGACCUUGACUCUCCGGGGAGGUUCACAAGAUUCCCGGGACUUGCUCUUCAAGAGAAAAUGGGCAUGAAGCAGCUGAAGCCCAGGGGCCUUAUGGAGACUGUCCGUUCUGAAAGCGAAGUGUGAGUCCUCUGGGAAGAAGCAGAUCCUUUAUGACUAACAUCAACACAAAUCAUUUUGAGUGGUUUAUACACCUGUGUGCAUGGAGGUGCACAAAUGUGCACAUGGGUGUACAGGCCACAGGACAGCCUCAGUGCCAUUACUCAGGAGCCAUCUUGUGUUCUGAGACUCUCACCAUACUGAGACAUGCCAAGAAGGCUAGGCUGGCUGGCCAGAGCCCCCAGGGUCUACUUCUGCCUCCAAGUGCUGGGAUUCGGAGCACACUCCCGCACACGCCAACCUGUGCAUUCCUUUACAUAUUAUUGAGUGCGGCUUCUGGGAAUUAAACCAGGGUCCUCGUGCCUGUAAGCACUUUACCUACUGAGAUGUCACCAGCUUCAAGGGACAUUCCCUCACCACAGAGAGAGUGAAGAAUCAGCACUUUGUGGCCUGGAAGACCUUCAAUGCUUAGGAAGCUGUAAAUGUUCAUGGUAAUGUUCCCACCCAUCUCUGGGGUGGGGGAAGCUCCUGAAACCAUCCUUGAGUUCCUUUUGUCCCCUGGGGCCUUAUGUGCACCUAGGCUCGUGAAUAUUUGAAUUCCCUUUCUCAUUUGUCCCUAAUUCUUGACUAACUAAACUUUUCCCAUUGUUCUUGGAUAUUGAGACAGGGAACACUGGGUCAGAUGGGAGUAAAGAUCAUAGGCCCAUAAAGCAGGAGCUCUUAUCACCAUUAUAAGGAUGCUAUCUUACAGUCACCAAGUGUUUUUAAUCCCAGGCUGACUUUGACCUUACAGUGUGGCCAAAGAUGACCUUGACUUCUGAUCUUCAUGCCUCCAGCCCUGGAGUGCUGGGAUUACAUGUGCGUGGCACCACACCAGUUUAUGUGGUGCUGGGAAAGGAACCUUGGGCUGUGAAUGUUGGGCAAGCUGUCUACAGACUGAGCGAUGUCCCCAGUUACCAAACUUCACAUGGCUUGUUCUUGGUGCUUUAUGCAUGUCAACACAUCACAUCUCCUAUCAGUGCUUUGAGGUUUGGGACUGCUGCAGUCGGUUUUUACAGGUGAGCAAAAGAAGGUGUAGUCGGAUUAAACAGCAAGCUUCAGGUCACCAAGUUGGUUUUGUUGGGCUCAGGAUUUGCACUCAUCUCACACCAUUGCUCUUGCUCUCUUUCCCAUAAAUACCUGGGCCUCAGAAGGCACAGGGUGCAGAGUGGCUUAUUUUUACCAGCAGUUUAUCUCCAUAGUAGAAGUGCCAUGAGUUUGUUAUUUCCCCUCUUUAAACCUGGAUCCCUGCA